AGGGGACCUGGAAACUCUUACAGCUUCACUACAACAUCCAAAUUGAGCCUAGACUAUGCAUUUGGAAAUUUGGAGAGGCUAGGAUAGAAGUUAAAGCUGAAAAAGGUCUUAGAAAUAACCUGGUCCAAUCUCCCCCUUUUUGGUAGAUAAGGAUACUGAGACCUGGGGAAGGAAAGUGAUAUUUGCACAUGGGAAGCAAGAGCAAAACCAAGAUUUAGACCCAAGUCUUCUGGCUGCAAAUCUAAUGCUCAAGUUCUUUUUGCCAGCCAUAUUCACCAGAACAAUUGUGAUCUAUGUCUGUGGAAAGAGCACUCAAGUCAAUGAAAUUAAAGACCAAUUAAGUCCUUAAGUCAAGAAGAUGCAUCUGUGCACACGUACAGCUGUGCUGCUCCAAAUAAGAACUUACUGAAAAUGUCUCAAGUGGCUCAAGACCAAAAUAUGGACAUGACUUGGAACCAAUAUAUGACCAAAAUGGGUGGGAUCCCUUUUGCUGCUGUUUUAAGGUAGGACUCCGGUAGGAGCCAUGUUUUCUUUAAAGUUCUAUAGUGUCCAUACUGCUUCCCCUGAUUUAUUUUUCAGGUUUAUAUUCACCUGUCUUAUUUACUACUUAUUUACUUUGCU
This 621-nucleotide long non-coding RNA is filed under the name Monodelphis domestica (gray short-tailed opossum). RNAcentral's name for it is "lncRNA (ENSMODG00000042014.1)". Lineage: Eukaryota; Metazoa; Chordata; Mammalia; Didelphimorphia; Didelphidae. The record is from RNAcentral.